This is a non-coding RNA of Oryza glaberrima (African rice), 204 nucleotides long. NCBI's taxonomy places the organism in Eukaryota, Viridiplantae, Streptophyta, Magnoliopsida, Poales, Poaceae. The record is from Rfam.
AAAAAGGCAAACCCUGGGUAUCCGUGCCAACGUUUGACUGUCCGUCUUAUAUGAAAUUUUUUUAUAAUUAGUAUUUUCAUUGUUGUUAGAUGAUAAAACAUGAUUAAUACUUUAUGCGUGACUUGUCUUUUUAAUUUUUCAUAAUUUUUUCAAAUAAGACGGACGAUCAAACGUUGCACACGGAUACCAGAGUUUGUCUUUUUU